This 485-nucleotide long non-coding RNA is filed under the name Theobroma cacao (cacao). RNAcentral's name for it is "long non-coding RNA (TCAC_LNC002930)". The record is from RNAcentral. Lineage: Eukaryota; Viridiplantae; Streptophyta; Magnoliopsida; Malvales; Malvaceae.
AAGUCGAUUUUUCAUCCGAUAAAUUGGCCAAUGCGUCCAAUUUCACUCCAACUUGCUCCAUUUCUUUUCCAAUUCCUCAAUUCACCAAAAACUAUUAUUUCUUAAUCAAAUCACCUAGAAUAACAUCCCAUUCUUCCUCAUUAUUCACUUAGAGAAUUCGGCUAUUGAUGGGCACCAAACCUUUGGUGGUUUUCUUCACUUGUUUUCAUGCUACACAUCAUUAAUCACCUAAAAACACUAACAUACCUAAAAAUCAAACCAAUCCAAGAUCAUUCUCUCUCCAUACCCAUUUUGACCAGCCAUGAAUUCACCAUGAAAGCAUGCUUUUCAACCAUGAAAAUUAAGGAAAAAUGCAUGGGUAAGGUAAAUCACUAGCAAAAUCAAAGAAAUUUUACCUUUGCUUGAUCAAAUCCUUGAAUUCCAACACUUUCUCUUUGAUUUUUUUCACCUAGGGUUUGUUCUUCCUUGGUUUCUCUUCUCUUCUG